Molecule: ribosomal RNA, 519 nt
Filed under: uncultured Bacteroidales bacterium
Lineage: Bacteria; Pseudomonadati; Bacteroidota; Bacteroidia; Bacteroidales
Description: bacterial SSU rRNA
Rfam family: Bacterial small subunit ribosomal RNA
Source: RNAcentral
GUUAUCGAUGGGGAUGCGUUCCAUUAGUUUGUUGGCGGGGUAACGGCCCACCAAGACUACGAUGGAUAGGGGUUCUGAGAGGAAGGUCCCCCACAUUGGAACUGAGACACGGUCCAAACUCCUACGGGAGGCAGCAGUGAGGAAUAUUGGUCAAUGGACGAGAGUCUGAACCAGCCAAGUAGCGUGAAGGAUGACUGCCCUAUGGGUUGUAAACUUCUUUUAUAUGGGAAUAAAGUAUUCCACGUGUGGGAUUUUGUAUGUACCAUAUGAAUAAGGAUCGGCUAACUCCGUGCCAGCAGCCGCGGUAAUACGGAGGAUCCGAGCGUUAUCCGGAUUUAUUGGGUUUAAAGGGAGCGUAGGUGGAUUGUUAAGUCAGUUGUGAAAGUUUGCGGCUCAACCGUAAAAUUGCAGUUGAAACUGGCAGUCUUGAGUACAGUAGAGGUGGGCGGAAUUCGUGGUGUAGCGGUGAAAUGCUUAGAUAUCACCGAAGAACUCCGAUUGCGAAGGCAGCUCACUAGA